RNAcentral lists this ribosomal RNA (669 nucleotides) under Pseudovibrio sp. RNAcentral's name for it is "bacterial SSU rRNA". It matches the Rfam family "Bacterial small subunit ribosomal RNA", at positions 28 to 742 of the family's 1533-position model. The record is from RNAcentral. Lineage: Bacteria; Pseudomonadati; Pseudomonadota; Alphaproteobacteria; Hyphomicrobiales; Stappiaceae.
AACGAACGCUGGCGGCAGGCCUAACACAUGCAAGUCGAACGGAUCCUUCGGGAUUAGUGGCAGACGGGUGAGUAACGCGUGGGAAGCUACCUUGUGGUAGGGAACAACAGUUGGAAACGACUGCUAAUACCCUAUGAGCCCUAUGGGGGAAAGAUUUAUCGCCAUGAGAUGUGCCCGCGUUAGAUUAGCUAGUUGGUAAGGUAAUGGCUUACCAAGGCGACGAUCUAUAGCUGGUCUGAGAGGAUGAUCAGCCACACUGGGACUGAGACACGGCCCAGACUCCUACGGGAGGCAGCAGUGGGGAAUAUUGGACAAUGGGGGCAACCCUGAUCCAGCCAUGCCGCGUGAGUGAUGACGGCCUUAGGGUUGUAAAGCUCUUUCAGCAGUGAAGAUAAUGACAUUAACUGCAGAAGAAGCCCCGGCUAACUUCGUGCCAGCAGCCGCGGUAAUACGAAGGGGGCUAGCGUUGUUCGGAAUCACUGGGCGUAAAGCGUACGUAGGCGGACUGAUCAGUCAGGGGUGAAAUCCCGGGGCUCAACCCCGGAACUGCCUUUGAUACUGUCAGUCUUGAGAUCGAGAGAGGUGAGUGGAACUCCGAGUGUAGAGGUGAAAUUCGUAGAUAUUCGGAAGAACACCAGUGGCGAAGGCGGCUCACUGGCUCGAUAMCUG